AACUCACAAACCCUGAGAUCAUGACCUGAGCCGGUUGGACGCUUAACUGACUGAGCCACCCAGGCACCCCAUUUUUCUUCCUUUUCAAUGAUAAAGGUAAUUCUUAUAUCGGGACCUGCAAAAUCGAGGCUUCCCCAGUGGCAUGGCCCACCACACAAAUAGAAACCUAAGUGUGUAGCACUUAAGGGAAAGGUGUCACUGUCACAGAAACCUAGCAUAUGCCAGUCACAAUCACCCAACUCAGCUCUGCCUUACCUUAGCCUAGAAAAUAGGAACUUUGAGCUUUAUAAGGAAGUCCCCACCCUCUUGGCCAUUGAUUCUCUGAGUUGCCGUUUCUUAUGCUCUAAAAAAUCUGCUCUUGCCCCAACUGCUUCAGGAAGAGUGCUUUUUUACUGCUUGAGAAGCGCUGUCCUCCCCCAAUGCAUGGGUCGUUUCCCCGUGAAUAAAGGACAUCAAAGUCAUUGCACGGUUUUAUUUUUGUCAUUUGACAUUGGGAAAAUCACUUAACCUCUCUGAAUUUCAAUUUCAUCCUCUAUAGCAUGGGCAUGAGAAUUCUUUUGUCCACAAACUCUCAGGGUAUUGUCAACAUUCAGUAAGACACUACCUGGAGGGCCUGACACAUUGUGAAUGCUCAAUAAAUGGUUACAUGGUAUGAACUCAUUUCUACUGUAAGUUCCUAAAGCUUGAGUUAUAAAUAAAAUGUGACAAAAUAUGCAUGCAUUUUCACAUGUGAGUGUUUUCACUUGAAGCAACCGAAACAAUUCUAGGGAGUUCAUGACCUCGGUCUCUUUAUUUAUUGUAUAUGAAGAGGCAUGUGGCAGGGGUCCUUCACAUAACUCCAUCCCACCGCUGUCCCCAUAAGUGGUUACAGAUCUUAAGUGGGUGGCACUGGGGUUCACUGCGAAAUACCAAGAUCAUUCCAUCAAACCUUGUGAAGUUUCUGUUGUCAACAAAUGUCAGCUUUGGGAUUUUCCUUCUAAAAGCUAAUUCUCGUUUUCCUGGGAAUUUUCACUAGCUUGUUUGAGAUCCAGUAGAAGCAAGGAAACCACUUGCUUAGGAAGAGAUAAACUAUCUUAAGUGCAUACACCUUUGCAAAACUCUGCCAUUGUGCUCAGCUCAGCACUUUUUUUUCAGGGUUUGAGGGGCCAAUCUACCUAGUCAAAUGCUAUACAAAAGACCUUUUUUCUGGAAUCCACUUCCAGCAAGGGAUUAGCACCAGUUCUGAGAUUCCAUCUGUCUUGUUUACAUUCCUUGUGCGAUUUCAGGACAUCGUGUUCCCUUUCUUGUAAUUGCACAACAAAAGCACUGCCACAGGGCCCUGGAAUGUCUUUCCGCUCCAUGUCAGGAUUUCCUUCUGGCUGGCAUUCUUUGCAGACAGCUCUGGGACCUCCAGGUGGGCUGGUUCAGAGAAGAGAACUUGGGCUUUAGAGACAGACGGACAAACCUCCAGUUCUGCUGCUGCCAUUCGUGACAUAUUCACUGAACCUUCCUUCUGUAAAAUGGAGACAGUAACAUUUUAGCCUUUGUAGGAUCCUUGUGGAGAUUGAAUAAGACCAUGUGUGUAAAUCAUCCAGCACAGGGCCUGGCAAUCUUAGGUACUGCGAUAAGUGAAGUCAUUAUUUUAAUUCUGGUGCCAAGGGACCUUGCAGCAUUCAUUUCUUUCUUGUGCCCAGCAUCAAAAUGCUCUACCUUUGCCUGACUUCUCCAAAGAAACACACACACCUGUCCCACUGGAGAAGGUGUUAAGUGAUACAGAUUCUUGGCUUCGCUAUCUUUUAAAAUAUUCUGUGGCUGGGCAAAAAGGCUCUCUUGGUGACCCACUGGUCACUGUUUAAAUCAGUGCUGCUUUUGUGACAUCGCUGGAGACAGAGGAGGGACACCUGACUGUUGACUGGGAAGCAGACACGUGAAGGGCCUUGUAAUGAUGUCCACCUGAACACGAUGAUCCAGAACAGCUGUGGUGUCUCGGCAGCUCGCCCUUUGCAAGGUUGGAAAGGAGUGGGUGUGGCCACAGGUCCUACGCUCUCCUUGUGCACGGUUAUGGGCCAGGAACGCUCACUUGGCAAUGAAUACAUUGUCACCGAACUUGCCGUUCGUGGGGGCUACUCUGUCAAGGUGAAGGCCCCAGGCAGGCCCCCGAGCAGUCUGAGAAGCCUUAUGUGGGGUUCCCCAAAGGAAUUUCACGGCGCACUCCACAGCCAGAAGUAAGCAUCUUCUUACUUAGCAAAACAAAAGUUGAUGGACACAGACGGAGAGUCCCACACUGGUGUAUCCGUGGUACAAAGAUGUGAGAUUGGGAACAAAGAAAGAAGCAGACCACAAUGGGUGGCAGCACGUACCGAUAUUAAAAGGACCAGCAAAUAGUGCAAAAGUGA
Molecule: long non-coding RNA, 2375 nt
Organism: Leopardus geoffroyi (Geoffroy's cat)
Lineage: Eukaryota; Metazoa; Chordata; Mammalia; Carnivora; Felidae
Exons: 2
Source: RefSeq, a predicted model, not a curated record